Long non-coding RNA from Anas platyrhynchos (mallard), 1153 nucleotides. RefSeq lists it as uncharacterized. Lineage: Eukaryota; Metazoa; Chordata; Aves; Anseriformes; Anatidae. The record is from RefSeq and is a predicted model, not a curated record.
GGCACACCGGGGGAGAGGCCAUUCCCUGUAAUGGGAGGGUGAGAAGGGAGACUGGAAAUCAGCACUAGGGGAUUAAGGCUGGGGAUUUUGGAAAGCUGCGUGGGACACUGUUAGGGCAGCUUGUGAACAGAUGAGUGAAGUAAGCAGAAAAUGCAGCAAACUGAGUGGUUACAGACUGACAGCAAGAGGGUGUCUCACUGUUCUUGCUUGUCUGCUAUGCUACAGAGAGGCUUGAGAUGGAGAUUAGCUAUUUAUCAGCUGCAUGGUGGAAUGAGAAACAGCUGCAACAUAUUUUGGGGCAGCAUCACCAAGGACCACAGGCUCUCCACAGGUGCCCAGGCACCCCUCUUCCCUGGCCUUCCCCUGGCACCUGGCAGCGCUGCCUGCCACACAGCUGGCACAUGCACCACAAGAGGGAGGUAGUCAUCGUAAAAUGGAUGGCAGUGGCGGGCUUCUGAUCCUCCGCGCAUGGAGCGAGAAACCUGUUUGAAUAAUUAAGGCUUCCUAGAUGUGACUACAGAUAAAAAUAGAGAAACAAUGCGGUUUUGGCAUGAGCGUAAUGCUCCAGCUCGGGCAGAGAAGGCUUUGCAUGGAACUCGACCAAAGAAAAAUUCACUCCGGGCACUUGUAUUACAGCUCCAUUUAGCGGAGCAGAACAACCAUGGCUCGUAUUAAGUAGAUAAUAAUGAAGCAUCAUAAACAAUGUCAGGAUGCGAGUCCAGGACGAAGCAGGAGCUUUAAUGAGGUCCAGCUUGCCGGGAGCUUUUUGAAGUGUCUCUAGUUCAGUUACAAAGCCAGAAAGCAACAAAGGCGACUCUGCCAGCUGUGCGAGUAUCUGGUUUAGGAGGAAGUUUUAUGUGCGGAUGACACCACGCUGGGAUUCAGCUUUCAUGUACUAACUAGCUCUGCUCGUUGCCUGAGCCCUGCAUAAACUCUCUCCCCAUAACAUGUCGCACAAAUAAUAAUUCUUGACAAAUCAGAUCCAUGCCACCGGCUCCCAGGAUAGACAAAGCUGGUUCAUUGUGGUAAAUAACAGGAGCCAGCAGGGUCCUUUCUGCCUAUCACUAGCCAUAUUUAAUAAGCAAUCUAGGCUGUGAAAGGAAGAAAUGAAACACUGGUUCUGUGGCAGUAUCGAUGGCACGAAGUAUUUGUA